Molecule: ribosomal RNA, 253 nt
Filed under: uncultured bacterium
Lineage: Bacteria
Description: partial 16S ribosomal RNA
Rfam family: Bacterial small subunit ribosomal RNA
Source: RNAcentral
UACGUAGGGUGCAAGCGUUGUCCGGAAUUAUUGGGCGUAAAGAGCUCGUAGGCGGUCUGUCGCGUCUGCUGUGAAAACUCAGGGCUUAACCCUGAGCUUGCAGUGGGUACGGGCAGACUAGAGUGCGGUAGGGGAGACUGGAAUUCCUGGUGUAGCGGUGAAAUGCGCAGAUAUCGGGAAGAACACCCGUGGCGAAGGCGGCUCUCUGGGCUGUAACUGACGCUGAGGAGCGAAAGCAUGGGGAGCGAACAGG